This 497-nucleotide ribosomal RNA is filed under the name uncultured bacterium. RNAcentral describes it as "partial 16S ribosomal RNA". It matches the Rfam family "Bacterial small subunit ribosomal RNA", at positions 28 to 507 of the family's 1533-position model. The record is from RNAcentral.
GAUGAACGCUGGCGGCGUGCCUAAUACAUGCAAGUCGAGCGAACGGACGAGAAGCUUGCUUCUCUGAUGUUAGCGGCGGACGGGUGAGUAACACGUGGAUAACCUACCUAUAAGACUGGGAUAACUUCGGGAAACCGGAGCUAAUGCCGGAUAAUAUUUUGAACCGCAUGGUUCAAAAGUGAAAGACGGUCUUGCUGUCACUUAUAGAUGGAUCCGCGCUGCAUUAGCUAGUUGGUAAGGUAACGGCUUACCAAGGCAACGAUGCACAGCCGACCUGAGAGGGUGAUCGGCCACACUGGAACUGAGACACGGUCCAGACUCCUACGGGAGGCAGCAGUAGGGAAUCUUCCGCAAUGGGCGAAAGCCUGACGGAGCAACGCCGCGUGAGUGAUGAAGGUCUUCGGAUCGUAAAACUCUGUUAUUAGGGAAGAACAUAUGUGUAAGUAACUGUGCACAUCUUGACGGUACCUAAUCAGAAAGCCACGGCUAACUACGUG